AAUUACUCAAUGAGUGAAUAGUCACCAGUCUUGAAGAGAACAGAAGAAAAGAUUGGCAUCAAGCUGAAGGAGGAGGUGUACAGCUUCCUAGGGCCAUCGGAGAGACAGUGACCAACCUUACCUGUCAAUGAGGAGACACUAGAUUUGCUAGGAGGCACAGGUCAUGCUGAUCUGACUGGGCAUGCUGUAUUUAUGUACCUGGAAGUCUGUAGGUCCCUGCUGGCCUCAACUUGUGCACAUGUGGGGGAGCUAAGCCCACAGGGGGUUCACUCUGUGAUGAAGUGUUGCUUGGAGCUGGGACUCUCACCUUCUUUGGAUAAUGUGGCUGGAUUCCCUUCAUCCCCCGACAUGGGAGAAAAGACUCCUUGGCAAAGUGUAACAAUCUCCCUAACUCGAUCUCUCGUGGGACUCACAGACUCCCAUCAACUGCACACUGACAGCAAAUCUAUUCCAGUACUUUUGGGAGAAUAAGAAUUGAUGCUAGCUUGGUGAAAGCGAUAAUGUGGCAUCCUUUUAGUCCUAUUCUUUCCUCACUUCUGGUGAUGUGAUUUUGUUACUAACACUGAGAAACUAAGUAGGGAGUGGAGAAGAUGGUGUCACCCUCAAAUCAGCCUGUCUUUGUCUCUGAGCAUAGUUUAAGGCAAGAGAUGCUGAGAUGCUGUGAUAGUAGUGGCACUGCCUAGAGUUGUGUAUAUUAAAGAUCCUUAAAUUCUCCCUGUGUAAUACUUUCAAAACAUCCCAAAAGUUUCUUCCAGCAGUGGGGUUGUGGGAGCACAUGUAUAUCAUUUUCUAGCUGUUUGUUGUGGUUUUGGGCUUUGUACUUUGGCAGGGUCAAAACUGAGCUUCUGCUUUUCACAGGUCCAUUGUCACCAAAAUUACCCACAUUUUGUCCUGUUAGCAUGUCCUAUGCAUUUCUGUACCAUCAUGACGGGGAACUUUGAUAGUGUGGAUUUUUUUUUAUAAGUUACUUCUUUACAGUAAGCCAACAAGCCUUGUCACUAUUCAGACAUGAAAGGGGAACCUUACAAAAGUAACCAAACCUGGACCAUGCAAGAAUUACACAUAGGAAGACAUGUAUACAGGCCAAACUCCAGUUUUAUCAGCAGAAUUCUAGCAGCUUUUGCUUCAUGUUCUGUAACCAGCUAGCUCGUUCUAAGCAGCCUUCCAGCACUGUUGAACUUCCAAAGUCAGUGUUACCUGGUGGCUUCCAAGGAAUACCUUUACAUAUAGGGUGCUCUGUCUGUCAGCCAGGCCGAGGGGGUCCUGCAGACUGGAGGUGAGCUGAGCCUUGUUGAGAAAUUUUACAGCACUUCACUGGACUGCUCUGGGCCAUUAGUCUUGUAGUCUCCUUACUGCAUACAGAUUACAGUGUGUUUGUAUUGACGGAGUUCUGUAGAUAUUAACACUGACUUUUUUUGACUCAGAAGAUGAAUUGUGGUAGUUAAAGGGUCAUUGAAUUAGGGCUUGAGACACCUUGUACGGUGUUAACCCUGGUGGGCAGCUGAGCACCGCCCGGCUGCUUGCUCAUUUCCCUAUGCUAGAAGGGGAGAGGAUCAGAAGGGGAAAAGUGAGAAAACUCCUGGGCUGAGAUAAGGGCAGUUUAAAAGGUAAAGCAAAGGUUGUGUGCACAAGCAAAGGAGAAUAAUUGACUUUGUCCCCUUGGCAGGCAGGUUUUCAGCCACUUCCAGGAAGCAGGGCUCCAACAUGCAAACACUGUGACCCUGAACGUCCCCCUUCCUUCUCCUUUCCCCCAGUUUUUAUUGCUGAGCACAACAUCUCAUGAGACAGAAUAUCCAUGGAGUCUGUUGGGGUUGGAAGUCCUGGCCAUGUCCCUUCCCAGCUCCUCGUGCACCUUGCUGGGAAGUAGAGAGAGCAACAGAGAAGCCUUGAUACCCUGAAAGCUCUGGUCAGCAACAGCCCUUGUGUGUGCUCAACACUGUUUUCAUCACAAAUCCAAAACAUACGCGUUGCAGUGAAGAAAAUUAAUUCCAGCCCAGCCAAAACCAGUAUACAUCUUUAGCUGCUAUUUUAUUCCAUAUUAAAAAUAAUUUGAAUCGAAUGUGUUUUAGGUUUGUUUUAGUCUUGAACAUAACACAGAUUUCUCACUUAAAUGGCAGUCCAGCUUUCAAACACCUACUUUCUUUUCUGAUGCUAAUAGUAGAACAGCAUACUAUACCUAAGAUACCUACUGCAGGUAUCAUAUUUUCUGUUUUAUGGAAAAGCUCUGAGGCUUGUUAACAUUCUUGAUAAGUAAAGGUAGCUUUUAUAUGAAGAAAUAAAAAUAAGAAAAUAAAUUAGAUAAAAUUUAAA
Molecule: long non-coding RNA, 2310 nt
Filed under: Anas platyrhynchos platyrhynchos (common mallard)
Lineage: Eukaryota; Metazoa; Chordata; Aves; Anseriformes; Anatidae
Description: lncRNA (ENSAPLG00000026586.1)
Source: RNAcentral